This is a non-coding RNA of Camelina sativa (false flax), 133 nucleotides long. NCBI's taxonomy places the organism in Eukaryota, Viridiplantae, Streptophyta, Magnoliopsida, Brassicales, Brassicaceae. The record is from RefSeq and is a predicted model, not a curated record.
UUGGAGCAGAGAUCUCUGCAACAAUCCUUGAACGUUGUUUCUUGAAGUUAGAAGCUCCAGUAAGCAGAGUUUGUGGUCUGGAUACUCCGUUUCCACUUGUGUUUGAGCCAUUCUACAUGCCCACCAAGAACAA